This is a non-coding RNA of Pelobates cultripes (western spadefoot toad), 248 nucleotides long. The record is from the annotation of a GenBank genome assembly. Lineage: Eukaryota; Metazoa; Chordata; Amphibia; Anura; Pelobatidae.
CUCAAUUUUAAUUAGGUAACAUUGUUGAAUUAACUGUAUUUUAACCGAAAACCAAUCUAUUCUAGAAUAUGACAAGUGAGGUUUAGAGUAAAAAGUUAACUUCUUUUCAUCAGGAUGUUUUACACUCCACAUGUCACAUAGAUUAAAUUUAGAUAUGGCAUUCUGCAGAACCAAUUUUUUUAAUGAUAUUUUGUUUCCUUUCUUGUGGAACCUUUUUAUCCAUUGAUACAUCUACCACACAGUUAAAG